Molecule: unclassified non-coding RNA, 253 nt
Filed under: Hevea brasiliensis (rubber tree)
Lineage: Eukaryota; Viridiplantae; Streptophyta; Magnoliopsida; Malpighiales; Euphorbiaceae
Source: RNAcentral
AAAAAGAAGGGGUACCUUCUAUUUUGUAGCCAAUACCAUGUUGCAGCCCAUUUGGCCUCCUUAUGAACCAAAUAAAUAAAUAAAGGGUAAUUGCCCAUGCUGAUGCAAUCUUAUCGAGAUGCACUUAUUGAUGCAAGUUUCUUUUGCUGUUUGAUCUUUUUAUUAUCUAGGUAUGUUCAGUCAAGAAGUUCUUGUACAGGAAUUUUGAGCAAAAAGUUAGGAUUUUCAGUUUGUUCCUAUUUUUUAUGAGUUG